Molecule: ribosomal RNA, 474 nt
Filed under: uncultured organism
Description: partial 16S ribosomal RNA
Rfam family: Bacterial small subunit ribosomal RNA
Source: RNAcentral
CACUCCUGCGGGAGGCAGCAGUGGGGAAUAUUGCACAAUGGGCGCAAGCCUGAUGCAGCCAUGCCGCGUGUAUGAAGAAGGCCUUCGGGUUGUAAAGUACUUUCAGCGGGGAGGAAGGCAAUACGGUUAAUAACCGUGUUGAUUGACGUUACCCGCAGAAGAAGCACCGGCUAACUCCGUGCCAGCAGCCGCGGUAAUACGGAGGGUGCAAGCGUUAAUCGGAAUUACUGGGCGUAAAGCGCACGCAGGCGGUCUGUCAAGUCGGAUGUGAAAUCCCCGGGCUCAACCUGGGAACUGCAUUCGAAACGGGCAGGCUUGAGUCUUGUAGAGGGGGGUAGAAUUCCAGGUGUAGCGGUGAAAUGCGUAGAGAUCUGGAGGAAUACCGGUGGCGAAGGCGGCCCCCUGGACAAAGACUGACGCUCAGGUGCGAAAGCGUGGGGAGCAAACAGGAUUAGAUACCCCAGUAGUCCCAUG